UACAGAGGGGGCAAGCGUUAUUCGGAAUUACUGGGCGUAAAGCGCGCGUAGGCGGCUCUUCAAGUCAGGCGUGAAAGCCCCGGGCUUAACUCGGGAACUGCGCUUGAUACUGUCGAGCUAGAGUGUGGAAGGGGCGAUUGGAAUUCCGUGUGUAGCGGUGAAAUGCGUAGAUAUACGGAGGAACACCAGGGGCGAAGGCGGAUCGCUGGGCCAACACUGACGCUGAUGCGCGAAAGCUAGGGGAGCAAACGGG
This 253-nucleotide ribosomal RNA is filed under the name uncultured bacterium. RNAcentral's name for it is "partial 16S ribosomal RNA". It matches the Rfam family "Bacterial small subunit ribosomal RNA", at positions 524 to 776 of the family's 1533-position model. The record is from RNAcentral.